Molecule: ribosomal RNA, 478 nt
Filed under: uncultured bacterium
Lineage: Bacteria
Description: partial 16S ribosomal RNA
Rfam family: Bacterial small subunit ribosomal RNA
Source: RNAcentral
GACGAACGCUGGCGGCGUGCUUAACACAUGCAAGUCGAACGGUAAGGCCCUUCGGGGUACACGAGUGGCGAACGGGUGAGUAACACGUGGGUGAUCUGCCCUGCACUUCGGGAUAAGCCUGGGAAACUGGGUCUAAUACCGGAUAGGACCACUGCCUGCAUGGGUGGUGGUGGAAAGCUUUUGCGGUGUGGGAUGGGCCCGCGGCCUAUCAGCUUGGUGGUGGGGUGAUGGCCUACCAAGGCGACGACGGGUAGCCGGCCUGAGAGGGUGACCGGUCACACUGGGACUGAGAUACGGCCCAGACUCCUACGGGAGGCAGCAGUGGGGAAUAUUGCACAAUGGGCGCAAGCCUGAUGCAGCGACGCCGCGUGAGGGAUGACGGCCUUCGGGUUGUAAACCUCUUUCAGCUAUGACGAAGCGCAAGUGACGGUAGUAGCAGAAGAAGGACCGGCCAACUACGUGCCAGCCGCCGCCGUAA